AACAGCUCCUUUGAAAUUACUCCUAUUUAAGAAGAAAAAUCAUAUUACUUUCUUAAUCUUUCUAAUUCUAUUCUCAUAAGAUGAUCUUGGAUUUGUUCCUUUAGCACAGACUCUUUAGUGCAGUCCUGAUUUCUGUAUUAAUGAAUUGAGAAGAUGACAUCAGGCUCUUAGAUCAGCUUGGAAAAACAAAUGUCUUGAGUUGGAGCCCACACAAUUGUCUUCCUUGUUUGUGUUCAAAGACGUGUACCUGGUGGUCCAGAUGAGUAUCGUACUACCCGCCCCACAUAGCCUGAAAUUCUACUGGUGGAUGUAUGACACGUAGAGUUGUCCACAGAGGUAUUCCUGUUGAGGAAGAAGAUGGAGGGGGGCUGGAGCCUGGGAAGGCAAACUAUGACAACAAGAGCCACCAAGCGAAGGAAAGAGAAACAGUGACGGAGGCUAAGCAUGAAUUUCCAACAUAACCAUCAGUCUGACUUCGGCUU
RNAcentral lists this long non-coding RNA (482 nucleotides) under Calidris pugnax (ruff). RNAcentral's name for it is "lncRNA (ENSCPUG00000009072.1)". The record is from RNAcentral. Lineage: Eukaryota; Metazoa; Chordata; Aves; Charadriiformes; Scolopacidae.